AAUAGAAAUGAAAAUAUUUUAUUAACUUAUUUAAAAAUUUAGUUUAUUCUGAUGGAUCUCCACGAUCUAAAUCUGACCAAGUGGCUUGAUUCAUCUUCUAUUAUAACAUCAAAAUUGGAAGGCAAUAUAAAAGAUCAUUUCAGUUUUAUUAAGGAUUUAGUUAAUGAAAAUAAAAAUCAAGUUAAUACUAAAGAUAUGGAAGCAUUAUCUGACGAUUAUAAUAUGUUAUCCCAAAAAUUAAAAAUAAGAAGUGAUGUUUUUGCAAAUUUUAAAUCCCAAAUUCUCUCACAAGAUGAUGUAAAAGAUGUUCUAGAUGAUAUUAAAAAGUUUGAGGGUAUUGAUGAAACAUCUGAUGAGAAAAUAACUAAAAAUUUGAAAAGAAAACAUAAAAAUAUAUCCUAAUUAUAUAUGUUAAUAUAAAAUUUAUAUUAUAUGUUAUAUUACAUAAUAGUAUUUAAAUAAAUAUUUAGAUUUAUCUUUAUUUGUAUAAUGAAGGUAAAUGCUACUUAAUAGCUAACUCAAUAUUUUAUCUAGGAAAGUAUUUCUCAGGCUAGAAGAUUUAGUUCAUAGAUGACACCAAUGUUUGGAGUAUCUAUUAUCAAAAUCUUGAGGCUUAUGCAAUAUUUUCCUAGCUAAAAUAUUUAGAUAGCUCUUUUUAAAAAUUGUCUCAACUUAAAUUAUUUAACAACACUAAUAUUUAGUGCUCAUAUCUUAAAUUUUCAU
Gordionus sp. m RMFG-2023 is the source of this 723-nucleotide long non-coding RNA. RefSeq lists it as uncharacterized. The record is from RefSeq and is a predicted model, not a curated record. NCBI's taxonomy places the organism in Eukaryota, Metazoa, Nematomorpha, Gordioida, Chordodea, Parachordodidae. The transcript is spliced from 3 exons.